Molecule: ribosomal RNA, 1920 nt
Filed under: metagenome
Description: bacterial LSU rRNA
Rfam family: Bacterial large subunit ribosomal RNA
Source: RNAcentral
GUGAAAGGCCAAUCAAACUUAGAGAUAGCUGGUUCUUCGCGAAAUUUAUUGAGGUAAAGCGUACAUAGACAAAACUGUUAAUGGGGGUAGAGCACUUAUUGAGCUAUGGGGGUCCAAAACCUUACUGCUCUCAAGGAAACUCCGAAUACCAUCUAACAUGUAACACGAAGUGUGCAGUCAGACAUAUAGUGCUAAGGUUAUAUGUCGAAAGGGAAACAGCCCAGCCCAGACGCUAAGGUCCCUAAGCUUUCUGUGAGUGGGAAAAGGAGUGAAACAACGUUGACAGCUAGGAGGUUGGCUUGGAAGCAGCCAUUCUAUCAUGAAAGCGUAAUAGCUCACUAGUCGAGUUGUUUUGCACUGAAAAUGUAUCGGGGCUGAACAGAAACACCGACGCGCUGGUUUAAAGAUCUUUAUUUAAAGGUAGCGAAGCGUUUUGUACGCCAAUGAAGAAGAUACGUGAGUAUUUUUGGAGGUAUCAAAAGUGACUAUGCUGACAUGAGUAACGAAAAUCAUGUAGAAUCAUGAUCACCGUAUGUUCAAGGGUUUCUGCGUUCUGGUCUACAGCGCAGAGUUAUGUUCGGUCCCUAAGAGAUACACGCAUCCGUGUGCUUAAUGGACAGGAUUUAUAUAGGACGGUACUUGCUUCUAAAAGCUACAAUUGGAUAUGGUGUAUAGUAAGUAAGUAUCCAGGAAAAUGUAUAAAUGUAUUGACCGUACCCUAAACCGACACAGGUGAACGAGUCGAAUAGACUCAGGUGAUGAGAGAACCACAUUGAAGGAACUCGGCAAAAUAUUCCCGUACCUUAGGAAGAAGGGAAACCAAGUAUGGUGACACAAAAAUGGGGGUGACGACUUUUUACUAAAAAAUUAGGACUCUGCAAAAUGGUAACAUGAAGUAUAGGGUCUGACGUCUGCCCGGUGCUAGAAGUUUAAAAGGAGUGUUGAAAGAUACAAAUGGAAAGCCUAGUAAACGGCGGUUGUAACUAUAACAAUCAUAAAGUAGCGAAAUUCAUUGUCAGCUAAUUCCUGACCUGCAUGAAAGGCGUAACGAUUGCCCCACUGUCUCCAGUAUGGACUCCGUGAAAUUGAACUCUCCGUGCAGAUGCGGAGAAUGUGCCCCAAGACGAGAAGACCCUAUGCAUCUUUACUGUACAUUUACACUGGAAAAAAGCUUGAAUUGUGUAGGAUAGGUGGGAGUUGUCAACACCCUUGAAAUACCACCCUUUUUAAGAGGAGUUCCUUAUUUGAAUAAUAUUCAAAAACACUGUAUAUGAGGCAGUUUGACUGGGGCGGUCGCCUCCUAAAGAGUAACGGAGGUGUGCGAAGGUAAACUCAAUGAAAGACGGAAACUUUCUGUAGAGCGUAAUGGUAGAAGUUUGCCUGACUGCGAGAGUGACAGCUCGAGCAGAGACGAAAGUCGGUCAUAGUGAUCCAAAAGUGCUGUGUGGAAAGACUUUUGCUUAACGAAUCAAAGAUACGCUAGGGAUAACAGGCUAAUACUCCCCAAGAGUCCUUAUCGACGGGAGUGUUUGGCACCUCGAUGUUGACUGAUCAUAUCCUGGGGCUGAAAAAGGUCCCAAGGGUUCGGCUGUUCGCCGAUAAAAAUGGUACCUGAGUUGAGUUUAGAACGUCGUGAGACAGUUUGGAUUCUACCUGGGGUGCACGCGAAGAAUUGAGAAACUCAUUUCCUUGUACGAGAGGACCGGAAAUGUUCAACCUCUGGUGCACUGGUUGUUCUGCCAAGAGCAGUGCCAGGUAGCUACGUUGAGAAAGGAGAACCGUUGAAAGCAUCUUAAAUGGGAAACUUUUUUCAAGACAAAUUCUUAGAAACACGUGAAAGUCUCUCACGUAGAUAGGCGAAAAGUGAACCUUUUGAAAAAAAGUAGCUGAUUCGUACUAAAAGAACCACAGAUAAUUCAA